CAUAAAGUUGCAGCUGGGAGUGGAAUAAAUGUGCUUGUUGGCACUGGUGGGAAGAAUAAUUGCCAAGGAGAUGAAUUUCAAUAUGAAUCAUGUUUAAAAAGAAAAAAAAAUAACUUGGCCGACUUGAAUGAGCCUAUUCUGGUUGAGGGUACAAAUGAAUCUGCAAAUAAUCGUCUAGGCUUUACUUCCUUCCAUUGUGAGAUUCA
This 206-nucleotide unclassified non-coding RNA is filed under the name Hevea brasiliensis (rubber tree). Lineage: Eukaryota; Viridiplantae; Streptophyta; Magnoliopsida; Malpighiales; Euphorbiaceae. The record is from RNAcentral.